AUUGAACGCUGGCGGCAGGCUUAACACAUGCAAGUCGAGCGGAGCGAGGGUGCUUGCACCUUAGCUUAGCGGCGGACGGGUGAGUAAUGCUUAGGAAUCUGCCUAUUAGUGGGGGACAACAUUCCGAAAGGGAUGCUAAUACCGCAUACGCCCUACGGGGGAAAGCAGGGGAUCUUCGGACCUUGCGCUAAUAGAUGAGCCUAAGUCGGAUUAGCUAGUUGGUGGGGUAAAGGCCUACCAAGGCGACGAUCUGUAGCGGGUCUGAGAGGAUGAUCCGCCACACUGGGACUGAGACACGGCCCAGACUCCUACGGGAGGCAGCAGUGGGGAAUAUUGGACAAUGGGCGGAAGCCUGAUCCAGCCAUGCCGCGUGUGUGAAGAAGGCCUUAUGGUUGUAAAGCACUUUAAGCGAGGAGGAGGCUACUUUAGUUAAUACCUAGAGAUAGUGGACGUUACUCGCAGAAUAAGCACCGGCUAACUCUGUGCCAGCCGCCGCCGUAA
RNAcentral lists this ribosomal RNA (501 nucleotides) under uncultured bacterium. RNAcentral's name for it is "partial 16S ribosomal RNA". It matches the Rfam family "Bacterial small subunit ribosomal RNA", at positions 30 to 523 of the family's 1533-position model. The record is from RNAcentral.